AUCCCUGAUAACAUAACUGCUGACGUUUGGUAAACCAUUUUAUAAAUGCACUGCGAAGUCUGGGUAAUCUCAGCUAUCGAAUUGACCAAAUGAAACGGAUGGACAAUUAUUGUCACACACAUGUCAAUACAAGAUAAGAGCAUUAUCAUGAAAUAGGCCACUUUAUUUCGUAAUUUCGGAGUUUUCCAGAAAACGGCCACGACCAGAGCAUUCAGAAAUG
Molecule: non-coding RNA, 220 nt
Organism: Paramuricea clavata
Lineage: Eukaryota; Metazoa; Cnidaria; Anthozoa; Malacalcyonacea; Plexauridae
Source: the annotation of a GenBank genome assembly